This 306-nucleotide ribosomal RNA is filed under the name Rossellomorea marisflavi. Its description in RNAcentral is "bacterial SSU rRNA". It matches the Rfam family "Bacterial small subunit ribosomal RNA", at positions 1046 to 1352 of the family's 1533-position model. RNAcentral also lists the same sequence under 4 other names. The record is from RNAcentral. Lineage: Bacteria; Bacillati; Bacillota; Bacilli; Caryophanales; Bacillaceae.
UGGCUGUCGUCAGCUCGUGUCGUGAGAUGUUGGGUUAAGUCCCGUAACGAGCGCAACCCUUGUCCUUAGUUACCAGCACCUCGGGUGGGAACUCUAAGGAGACUGCCGGUGACAAACCGGAGGAAGGUGGGGAUGACGUCAAGUCAUCAUGGCCCUUACGGCCAGGGCUACACACGUGCUACAAUGGUCGGUACAAAGGGUUGCCAAACCGCGAGGUGGAGCUAAUCCCAUAAAACCGAUCGUAGUCCGGAUCGCAGUCUGCAACUCGACUGCGUGAAGUCGGAAUCGCUAGUAAUCGUGAAUCAG